Molecule: long non-coding RNA, 2405 nt
Organism: Dermacentor andersoni
Lineage: Eukaryota; Metazoa; Arthropoda; Arachnida; Ixodida; Ixodidae
Source: RefSeq, a predicted model, not a curated record
UCCUUUCCUUACAUUCCUUUCUUUUUCACACGGAAGGGGUGGUUUGCAUAAAAUUAAAAUAUCCAGAUACACAAAAAUACGGAGCAGUAAAGAAAGGUAAAGCGGCAGAUGAGCAAUAUUGUCGCUCCAACGUAGUGACAAAUGAGCUGCUACAAAUGCUUCUUAACAGUCAUGCUUUAACGGUACGAGUGGUGCCUGCAUUGCGUUUAGAAAAAAAUUACGAUGCACUACCGAGGUUUUGCUUCAUUUAUCAUGUUAAAGGUAAACAGCCGGACUCCACUGUUAUACUCUGCGUCGUCGCAAACUACUGAAAGGCGUCACAACGCAUCUACAGCGCGUAAAUGUAUAAAGCAAGGCUAUAAAAAGGUCACCUUAAAUGCAAAUCGGAGCGCCGAACCUACGCGUCUUGUUGGAAAGAGGAAGCGAGUGCUCUUCAAAACGCAAUAAACAAUGGCCACAUAUCGAUUUAUCAAUAAAGAUCGUUAUAAAACGCUUCUGCGUACUGGCGGUGCAAAAAACACAAACUGUUUGAAGAAUUUAAACCAUUUAAACUGGGACUGAAUCUUUCAAUGACACGGACGCCCUGCAACAAACUAAUAGAAUAACUUCCGAGCGCUGAGAACGAGAUUAACGCUUACAAAAAAAAAAAAAGAUUGGCUUUGCUAGUUUCUGUUUCGGUUUCUGAUGCACGAAGCGCCACCUGCUUCCUGCAAAAAGUGCCAUGGCAGCUUCCUGUUUACUUUUCGAAGUUGGCGUAACUAACGCAGCUGAGUCUCGAAGCUUUCGUGUGCCGUUAUGCAUAACGCAAUGUCAUUAAAUAGAUGAUAUGAGUAUUUGUGGAGCCUCUAGAAAGUCCUGCAUCGAUGCGUGUGUGUCUUUGUAUACGCGCCAUCUCUGGAGUGUGUGCAAAGUUCUUGGCCUCGGUCCAAAAUUUGCCCAAGCUACCAGCUGGACUAAACCGGAACUUCCCUGUCCGUCAUAAGUAAAGUGUCCAGAAGAGCCCCGCAAAAAGAUGGUGUGAAGAUGAACUCGGAAGGUUUAGAUGCCCUGUUAUGAUGUAAGCCCCCAACCUUCUAAGUUACCUGUAAAAUGUGUAGUCUUACCUGAAGAGUAAUUCAUUGUGUGUCAUACCAGCUGACAAAGAGGGUGGUUUUGCAGUUUUUUUUUUCCUUUAAAUGUUUCUUGGAAAAAGCCAGUCAAGCAAUUUCUGCAGUGUUCAAUGAGCGCAAAGAUGUAUCACUUAUGAAAGUAGCAGCAAAACCAAGUGAAAUUUACAGGAAGUUGAAUCUCGAUAAACUAAGGAAAAGCUCAGAGAUGUAAUUUUUAGUAAGUGCACAAGGAGGAUGUUCCUUUUCGGGUCAUAAUUUCCGAAAGGGGUACCUGGCAGAAGCAAGCUGCCCUGUACCUGGUUUCAAAGCUGAAUGUUAAAGAGAUUGAUGACCAGUUUCUUGUAAAAGGUUCUGACGAAUCCUUGAUUUUGUUAGGUUUCAUGGCAAAAAGGGCUUCAAGGCCUUCUCAGCUAAGGUCAAAGAAUUAUAUUAUUCUAUCCUGCUCAAUGACCUUAUCCAUUGUGUCGAGGAUUGUAUUGACAAAUAUGGCGCUGUAAGGUUUUCACAGGAAGCAGGUUGUUUCAGUAGAAGGGUAUUUAGAAUUAUGGUGUUUUUACAUGUCGUCAACCUUUGCACAGUGGAACAAUAGGCUGAAUCUGCAGAAGAACGGCAUUUGCAUAGGGUUGUGUCUGGCUCCCGUCUUUAGCAACCUAUAUUUAGCACAAUUAGAUAGGCACAUAUAUGACCACCUCACGGGACUAACAGUUUUUCAGCGAGCUUUUAGAUUUGUCAACAAUUUUUUAGUGUUUCUGGAUUUCCCUAGUAAUAGUUUUCUAGAAAAAUGUCCUGAUGUCUAAGAUUUCUUGCAAGUGUUUGAGACCUCUUGAAGUGACUUUUGAAGUGCAAUACGUUUCAGUUUCUUGACUUUCAGUUCAUCUUUACUGAUAGUAGGACUUGCUGGGCUUACACUCCAUGAGCUAAGAAACCCCUUCUCCAAUUUCAUUCAGCCCAUUUGAAUUUGGUGAAGAGGGGCAUAACUAACUAAUAGGGAUGGCUUUCUGCCCACUACUGCGCAUGUGGAUGUAGGCCGAAAUUCAAAAAAUGUUUUAUCGUUGCAAAACACGGAGACCGUGUUACACGUGAGAUAAUCAAAGUGGGAGAAAUUCUAUGUUUAAAGGAUGGUUGCAUCAGCACCCCUCUAUCGCUCUCACUGACAGGAGAUCAGACACCUCGGGCUAUCACCACGUUGAAUUUUGUGUGGCUUUGUCGUGGCGUUCUAAGUAUGGUUGGUGGGCUAUUGUGUGACUGUAUAAAUAGCGAUGCUUUCUGAAAAGAAAAUAAACAGUUGGAAGUUCA